CUCCUUUCCCAACCAAAUCUCCUCCUCUAGACCCAACCCGCUCAACACCCUGUAGCCACAACCAAAUCACCCACACAACCACCUUCUCCCCUCCCUCUUCCCCCUCCGAACCCAAUAUUUUGCUCCCCUCCUCCACAAUCAACUUUCCCCCUCUCUCUAUUAUCAAACUCCAACCCUUAUUCUAUGCAUUGCCUAAAACCAUUCCUCAUGAACCCAAAUUCCCAAAAUCAAAAGCUAGAGAUUAAGAGUAAAGAGUCACACAAUUUUUUAUUAUUCAAGAUCGGAGGUGAAGGACUUCGAGACUUGAAAGCAGAAGAAAAGCUACCACAAGGGCUUAUGGGGUGGCUGUGGGAGUGGUUGGGGAGAGGUUGCAAGAUUGGACCAAAUACUCUAUACGUGAAUAUAAAUAGGGUAAUUUAAUAAAAAUUGGGGAUUCUACUUGAAUUGC
RNAcentral lists this long non-coding RNA (448 nucleotides) under Prunus dulcis (almond). RNAcentral's name for it is "sRNA ncRNA". Lineage: Eukaryota; Viridiplantae; Streptophyta; Magnoliopsida; Rosales; Rosaceae. The record is from RNAcentral.